GGGGGCUAUGCCCCCAGGUCGUAAAAACGCAAUCCAUUGCAGGCACAAGUUGAUUUAUGACACUUUUCUACUUCAUGAAGAAACAUCUUUACAGAAUAACUGUGAUUGUUCGGACAUAUGUGAACAUAUCUGUAACUGUUCACUGCAUAAAUGAUAUGUUUAUAAUAUUAAUUGUUUGUUAGUAAUAUUAUUAUUUUACAAGGAAAAGAAAGAGUGAAAGAAUUGGUGGCUUGCAGUACGCGAAUGAAAGUCUGGUCCUAAUCCAACAUAAAACAAUACUAUAGUUCUGUCCCCACUUUGAUGACAAUCUUUCAGCUGGCUGUUUAUAAAAAUGGUGGCUUCCUUACCCAACUUUCCAUCAAGUGAUACACAUAGGGGUGUGAAUUGAGCUCUUCUUUCACUGCACGCUUGAUUGUACUUCCUCUUUUUCUCUCGUUCUGCAGCUAGUAAUACUUCAGAUGGUGAGCGGUUGCUGUAAGACUGGGCGUCAGUGUCUGAUGUCAAACAACCCCUCAGACUGUAGCAUCCAGACAGUUCAGCUAUACUGAGGCAGGACUACCAGAUAAAUGAUGUGUCUUACGUACUACUGGCUCUGGUGAUUUCAGUAAUUGCAAGAGAGGCCAAAUCCCCAAAAGCAUCCCUUCAUUGUGAUGUUGUGUAACUAAACCCCCUUUUCUACAUGACAGAGCAUGAGAGAGAUCAAAUGGUGUGUUACACCCAUCACAAUGUGGUGGUAUUUCUAGUAAAGGUUUCCUAUACCUGAUGGCAAGGGCGUCUCUAAACUCCUGUGCAGAUAGGGCAAUGCGAUGUUUAGCUACAGGGUUUACUGUGAGCCACGAAGACAUCUUGUCAUCCUUAGCUCUACACAUGGCACCAUAUUAUUCCUGAUCAAUCCUAGUAGAAUAAUAAAACCUCUAGCAUAUCUGCGUCCUUGUUCUUAUUGAUCUUCUUAAUAUAUGACUCAUAGUAUUCUGUAAACUCAUCGAUAUCAAAUUGACCAUUUUCUUUUAGAGCAUUAGUAUAAGGGGUGGUAUGCUUCGUUGAGUUUGAUUAGUUUUUAUCAGCAGUGGUGGCUAAAGUAUAUUGAGGCCACUGAUCCUUGUUGGAAGAGAAAGAGAGUACGCUCACUAUUGGAGAUCUCACAACCAAGAAGAGUUGAUAACAACUUCUUGAUAACAGUUUCACUGGACCAAACAAUUCCCUCUGCAGAUAUGUCCAUUGAGAUUGUGUUGAUCUUGUGUAGGCAGAGUAUUGUGGCUGUGUCUCAGCAAUAACAAUUAGCCUUUCAAGUAUCUUAACCCAUUGACUAACACAGUCCUUAACAUUAUUCAAUGAUCCAAUCUUAUUACCAAUAACACUACCAAGCAGCCUAUGGCUGGUUGUCACAUUCACACCAUAACUCUGAAAUAGACCACAAGCACUUGAAACAUAAUCAGAAUUGACAACAAGAACUCAUUUCCGAGGUUCAAAAUGGUGACCUGGGGAACCAUGACAAUAAAUCAUCCAAUGAAGCACAAGCUGAGGCAUUGUCUGCAUACCAUACGUCUCUACCUGUGUUAGGAUGGCUAAUGUGAUGAAUCAGUGAGACUGUAGCCACAGCAUAUAUAAACAUUGAGAGUGGGUCCCCUUGAGUUACCCCUUUGUUACUGUAUAAAAACUCAUUUGAAUCUUUGACCACCAGAGGUGCCCUACCUCUGUAUGUAUAAAAUACAAACAUGAACAAAUAGGCCAAAGAAUAUGUGGGUAUUCCACAGAGCUGCCUGACAGUUAAUACUAUUAAAAGUGUUCGAUGCAUCAAUCAUCAAAACUCCUUAUCCAUGAUUCUCAUUUGCCUUAAACAAAUCAGACUCAGUAUGUAUUGCAGCCUCAAUCCCACACUUAACUCUUCCACAGAGUUGGGUAAUAUUACUUGUAUUAUUGAGAUCAUACCUUGUUAGAAAACGAACAGUCUUACAAGUUAUUCUUAGAGUCUUACCAAUUCCUAUGGGACGAACACCAGGACACUUACCUAGAGCUACCAGCUGACAUGACAUAAGUGCAUAAAUAUCAUCCCAAGGAACAACGUUGUUCGUGAGAUGACAGACCAGGGUGGCAAUGAAACCCUGAAGACGAUCACUAUGUGCCCCAUAGCGAAGGAAAACAUCGUGCCAGUGGCCAGCGUUGGUACCCAAAGGUCCGGCACUGCCUUGAAUGUGGGAGGCUGUGAAGUGAAUGUGUGCACCAGUAACCAUUUGAUCUAGUCUUGGAGGGAGAGUAUCACACUUAAUCAGAGCAGACUCGGGUGGACAUUGCCAAUCUGGGUGUUUCGACUUUAAAGCAUCUAAAAUUGUCGUAGUAGACGAAUGACGGUCUCAGGUCAUUGUUUCAAUUACUUUACUAAAAGGUAGUAUAAGUCCCUUUGACCACUCAGAGAGCCAUUGCACAGUUGCCCUAGUCUUGCCCUGCAUUAUUAAUUUUUUUUAAAACAGUGACCAAAUGAUCGGUGUCCUCUUUAUAGGCCUGGGUCUUGAGAGUACUGUCACACGCAACAGCUUCAUUCAUUAAACUAUCAAAGCCUUCAAUUGUCCCUUUCAACAACCUUCUCUCCAUCAAUGCUCUUAUAUCAGUCCCUUUCCUUACCGUACGGGUUCUUUGUAAUAUUACAUCAGAAAAAGCCAUCAGCCUUUCAGAGGAAUAGUUCCCAGCAGCGACUUCCUCAGACAGUAGAUCGACAUAUCUUCGACCAAUGGAUCCUCCAGGGACAUGGUAUAAUCUUCCUUUCAAGUGAGUAACCAGUGGCAGGACCACUCACUGUCUGGCACUGUAGUACAGCACAAAGUAUCUCCAAAGGCACACGUUAUGUACUGUUCAAAGUCAAGGAUACUUGUACGAGCGCUAGAUGAAGACGAGGGCCUGCACAUUGACAGGAGAAACCAAUGGCGGCGAAGGACAGUCAUGAUGUUGGGAAAGAGAUGGUAUGGAGCUGCUAGUAGUAGAUUGUAUGGUUUUUUGGUCAGGUUUCUUUCCUUUUAGGAAGACAAGAGAAACACUUAGAGCCUGUCUUCCGGCAAAAACAGGACUUACAUACAGCACUGGACCCAUUACAGGCACAGCACUUCAUGCUACCACCCUCGAUUUUUUCUUAUUAUUAUUAUUAUUAUUAUUAUUAUAAAACAACAAUAGAGACUGUAACACAUACAUGUAGAUAAUGUUAUGAUGGGAAUAGAGGGAAAGCCCUACAGAACAACAGAAAUAAAGAAAUACAAGAAGACAAGGAAAACUGCAGGGGUCCCAUCUCAUCUUGAGCCAUCCGGCUUGGCUAGAUCUGAUGGUAAGAGACUGGAUGGAGUCACCAUGGUCCCAUAGUCAUUAGGUAAGCCCCUUGUUUCGGAUGCCACAUGCCCUGACACCCUAGCACCGUCUUAUGAGAGCAUUCCAUUUCAUGGCCCUGGGUCUUUUGCUAAGGCUGCUAAGGUGAAGAAGUGUGCUAAGUAAGAUGCCCUCCAUCAGUCAUACUCCUUCACUCCUGUGGCAAUAGAGACCUUUGGUGCCAUUGGUUUAUGUCCCUGAAGUUCCUCUGUCAGCUGGGAACUUGAAUUGGGGAGCAGUUUGGGGAGGAGUCCUUCUCAUAAUUGAUGCAUCAGAUUUCAGUCGUGGUACAAAAGGCCAACGCUGUGAGUGUUAUGGGGUCCCUUCCUGAGUCUGCUCAUCCUGACAAAUUUUUCUUUUUGUAGUUAUUUACUUAAUUAGUCCUUUUUGUAUAAAGUAUUAGAAUUGGUAAAAUGAA
Molecule: long non-coding RNA, 3766 nt
Filed under: Amphimedon queenslandica
Lineage: Eukaryota; Metazoa; Porifera; Demospongiae; Haplosclerida; Niphatidae
Description: uncharacterized LOC109582965, transcript variant X2
Source: RNAcentral